GCACAUCUCUUCACGCGGCAGGGUGAACGCAACCCUAGAGCCCUCAUCAUUCCUUCCAUCCACUCCCCAAUGCAUCCUCCUCAUCCCCAGCCGGCGGCUCGACCUCUCGUGCCCUCGCCGCCAUCAACCUCUCCUGCACUCACACGCCAGCCGCCGAUCUCCCGCGCCCUCACCCAUUAGCAGCCGAAGUCGCUCUCCCCCGCAAGUCGCCGUGCUCGGGAUUUAUGGCUGCUCCUUCGCCUCGCCCAUCUAGAUCCGCCAUCGCCUCCCUCCCUUGCUGAUGUUCAUCUUAUCUAUUUAUGCAGGGGGCUCGUCCUUCCGUGGUGCUCAGCCACCGUCCGGUUUGGAGGGGGAAUAGGAGACCCCCAACGAAAACGAGUGUGCUAGCGGUGGACACAAGGAUGCGCGGUGAUUGUGCCAGGUCCAUGCUCCAGUUCUUCUGUUGGAACUAGGAGGUGCAGAUAAAUAAGAGUUGUUGGCAGCAGCAACCUACACAUGUGGAAACAGUGGUUAUGGCAGCUCAAAGGGAAGUUCUGUCUGCUAGACAGCAACUCACAACUUAGUGGCGGCUCAAUGUACAUAUAAUCUAUUUCUUCUUGGAGCUAUCUACUAUCAUAUUAUGACUUGGUGCUAUCUGAAGCUUCUAUUUUCUCACCUUUUUUGGCGGCGAUUAUCCCUUAGACUGCAGUAGUUUUUCUAGGUGCCAUUAUAAGUGUAGGUAUUCUACAGUUAAGCCUCUCGCGUUGCAAAAAGCUACAUUCCAUUGUUUUUCUACAUGCCAUUGUAAGUGUAGGUUUUCUACUGGCUUCAACAUAGAUAAUUAGCAUGCGAGAGGCUUAACUGUAGCUUUUUGCAAUGCUAGACGGACAUAUUCAGUACUGAAAAUCUAGACUGUUCUUUCUACUCUGUAACAACUUCUAUGCUUGCGCCACCAUGAUAUCACUACAACAUUUCCCUGUAAAAUUUUAGUAGUUGCAUGUAAACUGAAUUGAUUUACCAGUAAAAAUCUGGACAGCUCAUUCCAGUCGAUAAUAACCAUUGUGGCAUUACCAUGAUAUGUCAUGUAUUUGCUCCGAGUCGUAGUAUGUUGCAGAAAGUAUAAUAAGAGAUAGAAUGUAUGCACUAUGGCGAAUGUAUGCACUAUGGCUAGCAGUAACAUAUUAUUGACUUGCACAGCAUUUGAUCUAUCUAUUUCUGCAGGCUAUUCCUCAUGUUGCAACCUUUUCCUGUAGAAUCAAAAGGAGUUAGAUGGAAGAAAUUGCAGGAGAGCAGGAAUGGUAUUCCCGGCGUGACAUUCAAAAGCAGUCAAGAUGGUGAGGUUUAGAACGGAGGAGCUCCGCGGAAUUAUGGAUAGAAAAUAUCCAUAACAUGUCUGUCAUUGCCAUGUCGACCGUGCCCUUUGAUUCUACAAGCCGCAAAGGAGCAAAGUGUAGAAAAUAUGUCCAUUGUUGUUGAAUUGGAGGGAUUGUCACCAAGUUAGUGCUUCAGAUUGUUUCUAUUUUAGAGCAAGAAGCCAAAUCAUGUUGUUCAUUGUAAAUCUUCAAAAACCUGAUUAUUGUCACUGUUAUAUCUGUUAUAAACUUUUGUUCGUGA
Molecule: long non-coding RNA, 1593 nt
Organism: Triticum aestivum (bread wheat)
Lineage: Eukaryota; Viridiplantae; Streptophyta; Magnoliopsida; Poales; Poaceae
Exons: 4
Source: RefSeq, a predicted model, not a curated record